Cardiobacterium valvarum F0432 is the source of this 74-nucleotide non-coding RNA. The record is from Rfam. Lineage: Bacteria; Pseudomonadati; Pseudomonadota; Gammaproteobacteria; Cardiobacteriales; Cardiobacteriaceae.
CGGAGUGUAGCGCAGCCUGGUAGCGCACUUGCAUGGGGUGCAAGGGGUCGCAGGUUCAAAUCCUGUCUCUCCGA